This 497-nucleotide ribosomal RNA is filed under the name uncultured bacterium. Its description in RNAcentral is "partial 16S ribosomal RNA". It matches the Rfam family "Bacterial small subunit ribosomal RNA", at positions 28 to 507 of the family's 1533-position model. The record is from RNAcentral.
GAUGAACGCUGGCGGCGUGCCUAAUACAUGCAAGUCGAGCGAACGGACGAGAAGCUUGCUUCUCUGAUGUUAGCGGCGGACGGGUGAGUAACACGUGGAUAACCUACCUAUAAGACUGGGAUAACUUCGGGAAACCGGAGCUAAUCCCGGAUAAUUUUUUGAACCGCAUGGUUCAAAAGUGAAAGAGGGCUUUGCGUUACCUUUUGAUUGGUUCCGCGCUGCAUUAGCUAGUUGGUAAGGUAACGGCUUACCAAGGCAACGAUGCAUAGCCGACCUGAGAGGGUGAUCGGCCACACUGGAACUGAGACACGGUCCAGACUCCUACGGGAGGCAGCAGUAGGGAAUCUUCCGCAAUGGGCGAAAGCCUGACGGAGCAACGCCGCGUGAGUGAUGAAGGUCUUCGGAUCGUAAAACUCUGUUAUUAGGGAAGAACAUAUGUGUAAGUAACUGUGCACAUCUUGACGGUACCUAAUCAGAAAGCCACGGCUAACUACGUG